Molecule: ribosomal RNA, 877 nt
Filed under: Tinginae sp. 2 S66
Lineage: Eukaryota; Metazoa; Arthropoda; Insecta; Hemiptera; Tingidae
Description: SSU rRNA
Rfam family: Eukaryotic small subunit ribosomal RNA
Source: RNAcentral
ACGGCUACCACAUCCAAGGAAGGCAGCAGGCACGCAAAUUACCCACUCCCGGCACGGGGAGGUAGUGACAAAAAAUAACGAUGCGGGACUCUUUUGAGGCCCCGUAAUCGGAAUGAGUACACUUUAAAUCCUUUAACGAAAAUCAAUUAGAGGGCAAGUCUGGUGCCAGCAGCCGCGGUAAUUCCAGCUCUAAUAGCGUAUAUUAAAGUUGUGUAGUUGGUUCUCGCGUGCCACGCUGUCGGUUCGCCGCCUGACGGUGUAACUGGCAUGUCGUGGCAUGUCCUGUCGGUGGCGAACUAGGGCCACACUCGUUUUCCUCACUUGGGCUUGUCUCGGGUGUGUGAAGCGGUGUGGUCACUCAGUUCGCCGGCUCUAUCCUGCCGCGGUGCUUUUAACCAAGUGUCGAGGUAGGCCGACACGUUUACUUUGAACAAAUUAGAGUGCUCAAAGCAGGCUUAAAUCUCUGCCUGAAUAGUGGUGCAUGGAAUAAUGGAACAGGACCUUGGUUCUAUUCUGUUGGUCUCCGGAACACAAGGUAAUGAUCAAUGUGGACAGGCGGGGGCAUUCGUAUUGUUAAUUGAUCAAGAACGAAAGUUAGAGGUUCGAAGGCGAUCAGAUACCGCCCUAGUUCUAACCAUAAACGAUGCCAGCCAGCGAUCCGCCGACGUUCCUCCGAUGACUCGGCGGGGAGCUUCUUCCCGGGAAACCAAAGCUUUUGGGUUCCGGGGGAAGUAUGGUUGCAAAGCUGAAACUUAAAGGAAUUGACGGAAGGGCACCACCAGGAGUGGAGCCUGCGGCUUAAUUUGACUCAACACGGGAAACCUCACCAGGUCAGGACAUUGGAAGGAUUGACAGAUUGAUAGCUCUUUCUUGAUUC